Molecule: ribosomal RNA, 253 nt
Filed under: uncultured bacterium
Lineage: Bacteria
Description: partial 16S ribosomal RNA
Rfam family: Bacterial small subunit ribosomal RNA
Source: RNAcentral
UACAGAGGGGGCAAGCGUUGUUCGGAAUUACUGGGCGUAAAGGGCGCGUAGGCGGCCCGCUAAGUCGAACGUGAAAUCCCCGAGCUCAACCCGGGAACUGCGUCCGAUACUGGAAGGCUUGAAUCCGGGAGAGGGAUGCGGAAUUCCAGGUGUAGCGGUGAAAUGCGUAGAUAUCUGGAGGAACACCGGUGGCGAAGGCGGCAUCCUGGACCGGCAUUGACGCUGAGGCGCGAAAGCCAGGGGAGCAAACGGG